UACGUAGGGUGCAAGCGUUGCCCGGAUUUAUUGGGCGUAAAGGGUGCGCAGGUGGUCGGGUAAGUCUGAUGUGAAAUCCCGCAGCUUAACUGCGGAAUGGCAUUGGAUACUAUUCGGCUAGAGGGUUGGAGGGGGGACUGGAAUUCUCGGUGUAGCAGUGAAAUGCGUAGAUAUCGAGAGGAACACCAGUGGCGAAGGCGAGUCCCUGGACAACUCCUGACGCUGAGGCACGAAAGCUAGGGGAGCAAACAGG
This 253-nucleotide ribosomal RNA is filed under the name uncultured bacterium. RNAcentral's name for it is "partial 16S ribosomal RNA". It matches the Rfam family "Bacterial small subunit ribosomal RNA", at positions 524 to 776 of the family's 1533-position model. The record is from RNAcentral.